RNAcentral lists this ribosomal RNA (497 nucleotides) under uncultured bacterium. RNAcentral describes it as "partial 16S ribosomal RNA". It matches the Rfam family "Bacterial small subunit ribosomal RNA", at positions 28 to 507 of the family's 1533-position model. The record is from RNAcentral.
GAUGAACGCUGGCGGCGUGCCUAAUACAUGCAAGUCGAGCGAACGGACGAGAAGCUUGCUUCUCUGAUGUUAGCGGCGGACGGGUGAGUAACACGUGGAUAACCUACCUAUAAGACUGGGAUAACUUCGGGAAACCGGAGCUAAUACCGGAUAAUAUUUUGAACCGCAUGGUUCAAAAGUGAAAGACGGUCUUGCCGUCACUUAUAGAUGGAACCGCGCUGCAUUAGCUAGUUGGUAAGGUAACGGCUUACCAAGGCAACGAUGCAUAGCCGACCUGAGAGGGUGAUCGGCCACACUGGAACUGAGACACGGUCCAGACUCCUACGGGAGGCAGCAGUAGGGAAUCUUCCGCAAUGGGCGAAAGCCUGACGGAGCAACGCCGCGUGAGUGAUGAAGGUCUUCGGAUCGUAAAACUCUGUUAUUAGGGAAGAACAUAUGUGUAAGUAACUGUGCACAUCUUGACGGUACCUAAUCAGAAAGCCACGGCUAACUACGUG